GAUGAACGCUGGCGGCGUGCCUAAUACAUGCAAGUCGAGCGAACGGACGAGAAGCUUGCUUCUCUGAUGUUAGCGGCGGACGGGUGAGUAACACGUGGACAACCUACCUAUAAGACUGGGAUAACCUCGGGAAACCGGAGCUAAUACCGGAUAAUAUUUUGAACCGCAUGGUUCAAAAGUGAAAGACGGUCUUGCUGUCACUUAUAGAUGGAUCCGCGCUGCGUUAGCUAGUUGGUAAGGUAACGGCUUACCAAGGCAACGAUCCAUAGCCGACCUGAGAGGGUGAUCGGCCACACGGGAACUGAGACACGGUCCAGACUCCUACGGGAGGCAGCAGUAGGGAAUCUUCCGCAAUGGGCGAAAGCCUGACGGAGCAACGCCGCGUGAGUGAUGAAGGUCUUCGGAUCGUAAAACUCUGUUAUUAGGGAAGAACAUAUGUGUAAGUAACUGUGCACAUCUUGACGGUACCUAAACAGAAAGCCACGGCUAACUACGUG
RNAcentral lists this ribosomal RNA (497 nucleotides) under uncultured bacterium. RNAcentral's name for it is "partial 16S ribosomal RNA". It matches the Rfam family "Bacterial small subunit ribosomal RNA", at positions 28 to 507 of the family's 1533-position model. The record is from RNAcentral.